GCUAUUUUGACAGAUAAAUGUGAUGGUUUUAGAAAUCAUUUAUAUAUAAUUUAAUUAUAUAAAUAGUA
This 68-nucleotide transfer RNA is filed under the name Zygaena nevadensis interrupta. RNAcentral describes it as "transfer RNA-Leu (CUN)". Lineage: Eukaryota; Metazoa; Arthropoda; Insecta; Lepidoptera; Zygaenidae. The record is from RNAcentral.